This is a long non-coding RNA of Mandrillus leucophaeus (drill), 565 nucleotides long. RefSeq lists it as uncharacterized. Lineage: Eukaryota; Metazoa; Chordata; Mammalia; Primates; Cercopithecidae. The record is from RefSeq and is a predicted model, not a curated record. The transcript is spliced from 3 exons.
UUUCCCUCGUUGCCAUGGGAACCUCGCCCCUUCUAGAGUCCCGGCCGCUUGACUCAGCGAGGCGCGGUGUGGUUUUUUCCUGAGGUACUCUGGGGCUGGGACCUGGUCUGCAGAAGGUCCAGGGGGCGGCGUAGGGGGAUUGAGGAGAGGAGACCAAGCCGGCCUUGCCUCCGGGACCAGCGCUUCCAAAUAAUCUGGGGCGUCCCGGCGUGCACACGCUCCUGAGGCCUUGCCGUUCUGAGGAAAGGGGCUGGCGAGGCGACCAGGGUCCGCGAUGCCGGGGUCCGGCUGUGGCCCGCGAAGGCCCGCUCGCCCGCCCCGGCGUCUUGUCACCGCGAGCCGAGGGCCUUUGCGCGGCCGACAGAUAUGGGAUGUUGGAGGACAUCUGGGGACCACAAAUACUCCUUCUCCUGGAGAUGCAACUCAAGGGUCCUCAAGGCCAUAGGACUCCAUAACUCUAUAGGUGUCAGGGGCAGAAACAGGACUAUGUGAAGAUUCACAGCCUCCCAUUUCCUUGCCUUCAGGGAGCUUCAGCAUCUACCCUUGUUCCAGGCGGCUGCUCAGG